UACGUAGGCAGCGAGCGUUGUUCGGAUUUACUGGGCGUAAAGAGUGCGUAGGCGGUUUUCUAAGUUUGGUGUGAAAUCUCCCGGCUUAACUGGGAGGGUGCGCCGAAGACUGGAAGGCUUGAGUAUGGGAGAGGUAAGCGGAAUUCCUGGUGUAGCGGUGAAAUGCGUAGAUAUCAUCAGGAAUACCGGAGGCGAAGGCGGCUCACUGGGGGUCUUCUGACGCUGAGGAACGAAAGCCAGGGGAGCGAACGGG
RNAcentral lists this ribosomal RNA (253 nucleotides) under uncultured bacterium. RNAcentral's name for it is "partial 16S ribosomal RNA". It matches the Rfam family "Bacterial small subunit ribosomal RNA", at positions 524 to 776 of the family's 1533-position model. The record is from RNAcentral.